Molecule: non-coding RNA, 1493 nt
Organism: Manis javanica (Malayan pangolin)
Lineage: Eukaryota; Metazoa; Chordata; Mammalia; Pholidota; Manidae
Source: RefSeq, a predicted model, not a curated record
AGAAGGCCAGUGGAAAGAACAGAGGAGGAAACAUUACUUAGUAAUCUGACUGCAAGAUCUAUAUUGAUUUGGCUAGGAGAGCAACUCUGCCUUACUGCAGAAAUGAUUGCUGUUGUCUUAAGACUUACAUAACUAGUAUUGCUUAAAAGUCCAUAGGCUCGCUCCCAGCAUCUCCCCCUUUCUUUAUUAAAAAUUAAGACGAUUUUGGUUGAGCAGGCUAAGGGGCAGGAACAGGGGCCUGAUCCUCAGUGGAUAUCUGGUGCAUGAAGAGGACUCUUAGUCUUACAGGCUCUGCUGAAGAGAAAGAGUUUCUCUAUUAAGCACAAGGUGUCUUUUUCCUGAGGAGAGGAGAAUGCAGGACACAAACCUCUAUGCAAUCAGGUAUGUCCCUCAAGGAACCCAGGGCAGGCGUUAGCCUUUCCUUUGCAGUGCUUUGCCUCGCAUCCACCUUAGUACUCAACCGGCACUCAAAGACUCCUGGGAGGGUUGCGCUGGUGCUUACUUUUGCUGAGAAGAGAUAGAGGGGGGUGCUUUGUCGUCGUCAUCACUCUCGCGAGCUAGUUUGUGAUAGUGGACUUGGAUAGGUUUGCUAACAAGGGUAUCUAUUUGUCUCUUUAUAAGGCUCGUCAAAUGUUUAAGAGCCCAAGGGCCAAAAGACAAGAGCAAUAUCAAUCCUAUGAGGGGGCCUAGGAGAGAGGGCAAGAGAGUAGUAAGCCAUGGGGAGGCUGAAAACCAAUUUUUAUACCAACUUUCAUCUUGCUCUCUUUCUUUCUUUCUUUUUUCUAACCCUUCUCUAACUCUUUUCAUACUAUCUCUAACUACUCCUGUUUUAUCAGCAUAGAAGCAGCACUCUUCUUUCAGGGCGGCGCAAAGCCCACCUUGCUGCAGAAAGAGUAGGCCUAGCCCUCUGCGGUUUUGGAGAACUACUUCAGCGAGGGAUGCGAUUGAAUCUGUCAGAAAGCACUAUCCAGGUGUAGUUCCAGGGAAAGUGUCGGGAUCUCGCGGGUUGCGGCGCUGGCAGAUGGCUCAGAGCUGUGGUCAUAAUCAGGAGGAUGAGGACUUUUGGCAACUGCAUCUGCAAUGGAAAAAGAAUUUGUCUCAGGCGGAGAUGGAGGCUCCAGUCUGGACUGUGCGAAUUCGACAAGCUCGGCUUUCCGAAGAACAAAGUCUCCCCCGUUUAAGGCUGUGCGAGCAAGCUGAUGGAAUUCAUUUGGGGUGACAGGAAGGAGAGACAGACCUCAAAGGGGCACAUUUCAUUUACAUAAGACAUGUUAUACAAAGAAGAGUUGGGGACAAUACACAUCCUGGCAGUCACCUUGCUCCGAGGGAAAUUAAGAGGAAAGAAGAACUGCCCAUCUGGACAUACGGACUCUUUGCCACUGGAUCCUGCUCUGCUUUCCUUGGAUUUCCCUGAAGGCCCGAAAAUCUGCAACCAUCCCGAACUCCUCCAAUAAACAUGGUCCAGCACUCGUGUCUUUUGGACACCUGAAAUA